UGUUUGGUUUGUUACGUGUGGUUGGCUGCGGCGUUUGCAACAACUUCCAUGCUUUCAGACCUCUUCAGUUGUGCGGCAAGGCUUGUAUCGCUUUGAGCGUAUUGUGGGUUUUCUGUGUUGGCUACCUAAUCAACGGUAUCGUUUGGAUUGAUCAAAGUUUGAUUUCGUCUUCCGUCGCGUUUGCGGCGUGAGGUGAACCUUGAUGCGGUCUCUUUGAUCCAUCUCGUCGAAGCACAUGCUUUGACGUUGUGGCACAUUGAGCAUUGCUUGGUGUCUUGUAUACGGAACACGUAGUGGGCAUGGAUCUAACGAUUCUUGUUUGCCCUCAUAUUAGCGUAACGCUUCUCUAACACGACUUGCACCACGUUUUAGCUCGUACGGACGUGGUGCUAUGUCGCAGAGGAAUGCUACCUGGUUGAUCCUGCCAGAGUCAAUCU
Molecule: unclassified non-coding RNA, 437 nt
Filed under: Artemisia giraldii
Lineage: Eukaryota; Viridiplantae; Streptophyta; Magnoliopsida; Asterales; Asteraceae
Description: partial external transcribed spacer
Source: RNAcentral